Scylla paramamosain (green mud crab) is the source of this 4956-nucleotide long non-coding RNA. RefSeq lists it as uncharacterized. The record is from RefSeq and is a predicted model, not a curated record. The transcript has 3 exons. NCBI's taxonomy places the organism in Eukaryota, Metazoa, Arthropoda, Malacostraca, Decapoda, Portunidae.
GCGCCCCGUUUUCUGUGAGGUGGAGGGAAGCGAAGUAAACAACAAAGCCAAGCCGCCUGGCAUGCCGCGCUGCUUCUAUAUCACCCUACACCUCACCUGGGAACUCGUAGGCCAUGUAUUCUGAGCCCCUGCCCUCAUUCCUGCUUGUAUUUGACUAGACACCCCAUGGACGAGAUCUUCCUGUGACACAGCAGCUGCUGGCAACUCUUUCUGCUUUGAGUUGCCAGACACUAGAAAUUGGUUGUUUCCCAUCCACCACAUGGUACCAGUGACAUCAAAUUCAAGUCCUGCAAGAACUUGGUGACUCUAUUCCUCAUGAGACAUUCCUCAUGAGACAUUUAUUUGGCUGAUGAACAAUCCAGGCUGUACAAGCAUAACAAGACUUUGUUUAUUAAUAGUUGGUUUUUGAAAUGUUGGAAAGUGCUUGAAAAGGUGAUGUGCAGUGAAAUAUCACCAAGAAUUGGAAAUAUUUUUGAUUACUGACAGAACUGAGUCUGGAUGUCUUAAAUAUUACUAUCCCCAAGAAAAUAUACUUCUGCACUCUAAUUGUAUAUUAUAUCUUACAACUUAUGUAAGUAGAUACUAGUAUUUACUUUAGCAUAUUAAUAAUUUCAUUAUUUAAUAACACAAGUUGUAAAUAGGUACAUUAAUGAUAGACUUUUCUCAAAGAUCUACAUAAACACCAAUCAGCGCUCUUCAUUGCUUACCAAACAUUAAGUAGGGGAAGUAAUAGUGUAAUAAGGUUUUGAUGUAUGGAUGCAAGGCCUAAUCUGAAAUAAUUGUAAUACCUGCAAAAUCUGAAAGAUAAAACAUACAAAAGAAACAAAAAUGUUCAAAACUUCUAGAUGUGAACAGUGUGGAAAAUGCUUCACCAGAAACAGUCACCUCACCCGGCACAAGCUCAUCCAUACGGGUGAGAAAAAAUUUGAAUGUUUACAAUGUGGUAAGCUAUUUAAUAGAAAAGGUGACCUUACUAGACACAUGUUAACUCACACAGGUAUAAAGAACUUCAAGUGUGAGGAAUGUGGGAAGAUGUUUAAUAGAAAUAGCCACCUCACCAGACACAUGAGAGUGCACCUUGACACAAAGCAGUUCAUGUGUAAGGAUUUUGGGAGAAUGUUUGUUGGAAAUAACAACUCUAGACAAACAGUAACACAGUCUAACGUGAAACAAUUCAAAUGUGAGGUGUGCAACAAAGUUUUUACGAGGAACAGUCACCUUACCCGACACAUGCUGAUUCAUGCUGGUAUAAAGCGAUUUGUAUGUGAAGAAUGUGAUAAGCCAUUCCACAGAAAUAGUGACCUUAACAGACAUAAACUGACACACAAAUAGUGGUACACUGUAGAGGAAUGGCUCUCUGCUACUGAUGAUGCUAAUCUUUUAAGAGGCUGAAUAUUUUCUACCAAGUAUGACUGCUGAAAAAUAUGCUGACAAAUUAUUUGUGUAACUUAUAAUUAAAAAAAAAAAAAAAACAAGAAAUAUAUAUUGAGUACCAUAACAAUGACAUCUGUUACUUUUAUUUUUUUUAAUGCAAUGGACCAGUAUCUAGGUAAUGUUUAAUGACUUGCAACUUUUCUUUGUAUUAGGUUUUCUUUUAACAGUUUAGUGGAUACCUAAAUAACUAUUAAUAAUAACUGAGUGUGUGUGUGUAUAUAUAUAUAUAUAUAUAUAUAUAUAUAUAUAUAUAUAUAUAUAUAUAUAUAUAUAUAUAUAUAUAUAUAUAUAUAUAUAUAUAUAUAUAUAUAUAUAGACACACACACACACACACACACAAUUAUUAACUGGUAUUAACUGUAUUAACACACACACACACACACACACACACACACACACUAUUAUUAACUGGUAUUAAUUGUAUUAACACACACACACACACACACACACACACACACACACACACACACACACACACACACACACACACACACACACACACACACACACACACUAUUAUUAACUGGUGUUAACUGUAUUAACACACACACACACACACACACACACACACACACACACCACUGUCAAUAACUGUAUUUAUUUUCAUAUACAUCAUCUUUUACUGUUAGUGUUAUUUGAUGCCACAUUAAUAGACUGUAGCAAUUCAGUUCAUGAAUGUGCACAAGAUCACAAAUGAUGCCUUGAAUCCUAAACUUUGAUGUUACCCUGUAAGUUAUUAUACUGAUACUUGAUUUGGGCCCUUUGCUGAUGUGUGUCAAUUGUUGUAUACAUUUAUUACUUAAAGAGUACUGCUGGAUUAAUUUACCUUUUUUUAUUAUGAACCAUUAUAAUUUUUGUUUAAGUACUAUCCAAAAGAGUAAUACAUUUGUGUUGUGCAUAUCAACCACUAAUGCACAUACACACAUAAACACACAUGCAGUAUUGGUCUUCUAAGUUGUGCAGUUGCUUGCAAAUAGAAAGGAAAAUGUAGUGGACAUUUACCAGAGUAGUGCAUCUUCAUUACAUACUUGUCUUAAAAGUCUUCUGUCACACAAGCGGCAGGUGUUCCUUUCUAUUUCAUUACUCUUGGUAACCUCAUGGUACAUAGCAUACUAAUGCUGCUUGCCUUUGGGGUUUUUAUUCCACCCUUCUAUUAUUUUCUUGAACUAAUCCUACAUUAGUACAUGAACAUGGGUUAUGUCACAACUUCAAGACAGAAAAGGGCCUGCAUACUGACCCUCAGAGAAAGAGGGAGAAAGGUAAUCUCAGGAAUGCACCAACAGGUAUAAAGCCAAAACAUCUGACAUGAUGGACUGCAUGAUGGAAGCAUGCUCUAUAAUGUUCCCUAGAAGGAAUUUUAAGUAUAUUAUUACUCACUAUGUCUUGUGCUACUUAAACUCAUCCUGUAUUAACUCUGACCCCAAAUAUGACUAAAUAAUAAGCCAUGGCCUCACUACUCAGGCAAUGUCACAGGUCAAGGUGACCAAACAAGUGAGAUGCUGGCUUAUUUUGGUCCAUUUAUACAUUUAUGAUACAUUAUACUGUGGUGCUGAGGAUGUCCAAAAUACUAUUAAUUAAAAAAAUGAAAGCAUAAAUGCAGCCAAUUACCUUGAGGUAUUACAGUCACAUCCAGCACUCUUCUUGACAGAUGCCACUCAUGUACAAUGGAAGACCCUACCAAAGACAAAAAAUUCUCAGUGUGAGAACAUAGUUUUUGAUUGGACAGAAAAACUAGACAGCCCAUGAAAACUGUUGACUACAGACCAUAGCAUUAAUAUAAACAAAUCAAUGAAAAUUAUUUUGAAGGUUAAGUCAUGUUUGGAACAAACUGAGGACUAAUGCCAACAUGUCUUCAAGAAAUCGUUAAGAAAAUUCAAGGUACACAAUAUUCAAAAGUGAACAACAAAGUCCUGAUGAAUGUUUGUAGUUAUGGUCCCAUCUUGUAGGUCAUGACUUCCAAAACCAAUACUAUGUGUGUGUGUGUGUGUGUGUGUGUGAUCAUAAUUCAAGCAAAUUUUGUUAACGAGAUUGCUAUAAGUUAAUUUCCGUACCACCUGGUGCUACCAAUCCUGCUCUGCCCUAGUGGUUUAUGGGCAUGCCUAAUUACUUUUAAAAUGUCUCAUUAUUUUAAAGAUUUUAAGAAGUUCACCUGACAAACAAGCAUUUAUUUUAAGGAAAGUUCUGAAAUGUUAAAUUAUGAUAAAAACAAAAACUAUUCUGCUUCAUGUAUCAGGAAUUAUUAGAUAACAAAAAUGGACUCUUCAGUUUUAUCACAUAGAUGGUUGUCAUUACAGUAGUUAACUUAAGUACACCUAAUGUUUAACAAUACAUUAUCAUCUUAUGCAAAAUCUGCUAUCACUGGCCAUUGGUCAGCUGGUAACAUUGCUGUAUCCAGCAUGAAAUAAGCUUACAUCUUUGCAAUGAACAUUUUCUGCUUCAUAGUGAUUUGAAUCCAUACUAUUAUACAGAGGUUAUUCUUUGUAAAUUGCUAAAAAAUUUGUUAAUCUUAAAAGUUCACAAGUAAUUAAUUACUCAUGCCCAUAAACUCAUGAUACAGGUACAUAACAUAACAUUUUAAAGUUCUAGAAUACUGCAAUAACCACUAUGAAUACUAUUCAACAACACCAGCAUCAUUUAACACUGCCCCAUAGCAGUGGAAACUAUGAACAUGGUAUCACUGAAAAUAUUUUCAUUGAAUACAGGAAUAAACUCAGUUCAGUGACAUAACAUGUAAUGUCGCAUUGCAAGAUUUUUUGCAAUUUGCCGUUUCUCACACAGGUGUAAGGUGACAUCCAAGAAAAUUGGAAAAUAUUUGCAAUGCAAGCACAACUUUAAAAGUAAUGAAUAAAUAGGUCUUUGUGCUUCUAAGGAAUAUGAAUGGUAGAAAUCCAGGAAGCUAGUUUUAUACUGCAACUGCUCUGAAAAGCAUAUUGUGUAGUUCAGACAGAGGUCUCUUCUUGGAAGGAGUGGGCUGUGAGCAGCAUUGCAGAGCCUCAUACCUGACAUUAAAAGUUUUUGUUGCAAUAACUUUUACUAGACUCAUUAGAUUAAGCAGAUUUCUUAGUUUAACCUAAUACAAUGACAGAUAGAGUUUAACUGAUCUGUAGGGUAUUGUGCUGAUAAGGUUGGUUUAAGACUAAAAUUCUGUUAAGUGACACUUGCAUGUUCCAGGUAGGAUUACACGUAUGUAUAUUCACAUAGAUGAACAAUAAAUUGUAAUGAUUUCUAUCAGCCACAUCAAAGAUAUUAACACUUCAGGGUACAGGACCCAGGACAAGAACUACCCAAGUGCUGGGUUUCCUUGCAUGAAGUAAACACUGUAAGUAGAGUUAGUCUAUUUUCUCUCCUUUUUAUUAAUGGAAAAUUUUUCUACUGCCACCACCAGGAACUGCCUUGCGGAAGGAGUUUUUAGAAAUUUUCAUACCUACAUAUGUUAUGAUACCAGUCUCUUGCAGCACCAUGUCUCAAGGUUGAGUGAUUGGAUCAUAAAUAUGUACAAUAAUAAAAGAGGCAGUCCAAAUA